Molecule: transfer RNA, 72 nt
Rfam family: tRNA
About the family: Transfer RNA (tRNA) molecules are approximately 80 nucleotides in length.
Source: Rfam
GCGGGUGUAGCUCAAUGGUAGAGCAUCAGCUUCCCAAGCUGAGGGUUGCGAGUUCGAUCCUCGUCACCCGCU